CAAUAGCGUAUAUUAAAGUUGUUGCAGUUAAAAGCUCGUAGUUGAACUUCUGGCGGUUGUCUUCGCUGGCUUCGGUCGCGUUGAUGGCUGUCAUCCGCUUGGGAACCUCAUUCGGUCUUCAUUGGUCGGUGGGAGGAUCAGGCAUUUUACUUUGAAAAAUUAGAGUGUUCAAGGCAGGCAAUCGCCAUGAAUACACAAGCAUGGAAUAAUGGAAUAGGACUCUCAGUCAUUUUAUUGGUUAUUGACUGGUAGUAAUGAUUAAUAGGGACAGUUGGGGGCAUUCGUAUUUAAUUGUCAGAGGUGAAAUUCUUGGAUUUAUUAAAGACGAACUUAUGCGAAAGCAUUUGCCAAGGAUGUUUUCAUUAAUCAAGAACGAAAGUUAGGGGAUCAAAGAUGAUUAGAUACCAU
This 408-nucleotide ribosomal RNA is filed under the name uncultured eukaryote. RNAcentral describes it as "bacterial SSU rRNA". It matches the Rfam family "Eukaryotic small subunit ribosomal RNA", at positions 592 to 1018 of the family's 1831-position model. The record is from RNAcentral.